Long non-coding RNA from Oncorhynchus gorbuscha (pink salmon), 478 nucleotides. RefSeq lists it as uncharacterized. Lineage: Eukaryota; Metazoa; Chordata; Actinopteri; Salmoniformes; Salmonidae. The transcript is spliced from 2 exons. The record is from RefSeq and is a predicted model, not a curated record.
CCCCUUCCGUCUCCCUCCACUCCCCCUUCCGUCUCCCUCCACUCCCCCUUCUCCCCCCCUCUCUCUCCCCUCCCUCUUUCUCGCCCCCUCUUUCUCGCUCUCUCUCCAGGUUGAGAGAAACUGAUUGUGAAAAGCAUCAUGUAACAUAAAUCACCAUAGAAACGUAGCAGAGAUCUUUUAAAUAUAGCAAUAUACAGACUAAUGUAUGAUACUUAUAAUCUCAACAUAUAUAAAUACAUACCUGUAUGAUAUAAAUACCAGUAUGACAAUGUUUGUAAUUUAUGUAUAAAAUAAUUCAGCAACAUGUUUAUUAGUAUUUUGUUGAUGUUUCCAGAAGGUUUGAUGACUUUCUAUUGGUUGAUGUUUCCAGAAGGUUUGAUGACUUUCUAUUGGUUGAUGUUUCCAGAAGGUUUGAUGACUUUCUAUUGGUUGAUGUUUCCAGAAGGCUUGAUGACUUUCUAUUAAAUAUUUAGUAAAA